AAUAAUAUUUCAGUGGGGGCUUUUGCGGCACUCGGAAAACAUCUUUCUGAAAGCGGGCAGGGAGCUUGGUGGCUGGGUAUUCCCACUGGGCUCCACUGGUGGAUAGAUGUGGUGGAGCCUGCGGCGAUACAAUCAAAUACCCGACCAUUCUUGAAAACACACUGGCGGAAGAAUGGAAACACAGCUGCACCAGGAACAGAGUUUCCAAUCGGGUGCAGACACUUUGUUUACAAGAACAGCAAUCGGAUUUGUUUGCCCACGCGGACCGACGUGUUCCGUCUGAAAUUGGAUAAAUACGUGGAAAAUGAGACGGCGAGCUGUCUUUCUGUAUUUCGAUGGGGUCUCUAGAAAUUACUAUGAAUAAGUAAUGGCGGAUGCGGACAACAGGUGGCAAAGAAUCCACAAGGUCCCGCCAGAGAAAAGGAAUCCGAGUCCAGCCACAUUGCCAUCUCGAUUGUAAUGUAAAACAAAACGCUCGCAUCCUGCGCUUUUUCAUUUUCCCGCGUUUUCCACCCACCAGACAUUCUCAUUAUACGGUCCGCCAGUUUAAAACUCAAUAAAAGCUGCAGUAUGAAUGAUUACUUAAU
Molecule: non-coding RNA, 587 nt
Organism: Drosophila melanogaster (fruit fly)
Lineage: Eukaryota; Metazoa; Arthropoda; Insecta; Diptera; Drosophilidae
Source: Ensembl